This 489-nucleotide ribosomal RNA is filed under the name uncultured bacterium. RNAcentral's name for it is "partial 16S ribosomal RNA". It matches the Rfam family "Bacterial small subunit ribosomal RNA", at positions 30 to 506 of the family's 1533-position model. The record is from RNAcentral.
AUUGAACGCUGGCGGCAGGCCUAACACAUGCAAGUCGAACGGUAACAGGAAGCAGCUUGCUGCUUCGCUGACGAGUGGCGGACGGGUGAGUAAUGUCUGGGAAACUGCCUGAUGGAGGGGGAUAACUACUGGAAACGGUAGCUAAUACCGCAUAACGUCGCAAGACCAAAGAGGGGGACCUUAGGGCCUCUUGCCAUCGGAUGUGCCCAGAUGGGAUUAGCUAGUAGGUGGGGUAACGGCUCACCUAGGCGACGAUCCCUAGCUGGUCUGAGAGGAUGACCAGCCACACUGGAACUGAGACACGGUCCAGACUCCUACGGGAGGCAGCAGUGGGGAAUAUUGCACAAUGGGCGCAAGCCUGAUGCAGCCAUGCCGCGUGUAUGAAGAAGGCCUUCGGGUUGCAAAGUACUUUCAGCGGGGAGGAAGGGAGUAAAGUUAAUACCUUUGCUCAUGGACGUUACCCGCAGAAGAAGCACCGGCUAACUCCGU